This 449-nucleotide ribosomal RNA is filed under the name uncultured bacterium. RNAcentral's name for it is "bacterial SSU rRNA". It matches the Rfam family "Bacterial small subunit ribosomal RNA", at positions 329 to 793 of the family's 1533-position model. The record is from RNAcentral.
AUCCAGACUCCUACGGGAGGCAGCAGUGGGGAAUAUUGCACAAUGGGGGGAACCCUGAUGCAGCGACGCCGCGUGGGUGAAGGAGUAUUUCGGUAUGUAAAGCCCUAUCAGCAGGGAAGAACAAUGACGGUACCUGACUAAGAAGCACCGGCUAAAUACGUGCCAGCAGCCGCGGUAAUACGUAUGGUGCAAGCGUUAUCCGGAUUCACUGGGUGUAAAGGGAGCGUAGACGGCCAUGCAAGCCAGGGGUGAAAGCCCGGGGCCCAACCCCGGGACUGCCCUUGGAACUGCAUGGCUGGAGUGCGGGAGGGGCAGGCGGAAUUCCUGGUGUAGCGGUGAAAUGCGUAGAUAUCAGGAGGAACACCGGCGGCGAAGGCGGCCUGCUGGACCGCGACUGACGUUGAGGCUCGAAAGCGUGGGGAGCGAACAGGAUUAGAUACCCGUGUAUG